CCCUUAGAUGUUCUGGGCCGCACGCGCGCUACACUGUUCGACGCAGCGAGUCUUAACCUUGACCGAAAGGUUUGGGUAAUCUUCAGCAAAGUCGAACGUGAUGGGGAUCGAUCAUUGCAAUUAUUGAUCGUGAACGAGGAAUUCCUAGUAAGUGCAAGUCAUCAGCUUGCGCUGAUUACGUCCCUGCCCUUUGUACACACCGCCCGUCGCUGCUACCGAUUGAAUGGUUUAGUGAGAUCUCUGGAUUGACGCUGGCUAGGGGGCGACCCUUGGCCAGGCUGUCGAGAAACUGCUCAAACUUGAUCAUUUAGAGGAAGUAAAAGUCGUAACA
RNAcentral lists this ribosomal RNA (331 nucleotides) under uncultured eukaryote. Its description in RNAcentral is "partial 18S ribosomal RNA". It matches the Rfam family "Eukaryotic small subunit ribosomal RNA", at positions 1470 to 1796 of the family's 1831-position model. The record is from RNAcentral.